Molecule: long non-coding RNA, 210 nt
Filed under: Vigna radiata
Lineage: Eukaryota; Viridiplantae; Streptophyta; Magnoliopsida; Fabales; Fabaceae
Description: long non-coding RNA (VRAD_LNC016771)
Source: RNAcentral
AGAGUUUCCACCAUUUUUCACCGAUUGUUUUCAAAUUUCUACCGAUUGAAAUACUUCCUAACGAUCAUACUACCUUUCCCACUGAUUAAACUUCGAUUCUCACCGUUUAAUCGGUCUGUUUCGAGUCUCCUUAUCAUUUUAGGGUUCUCGAAGUCCGAUUAGGAUUUUCAACCUAUUCUCUUCGAUUUCUAUUUCGAUCUGGAGUGUUCU